This 240-nucleotide unclassified non-coding RNA is filed under the name soil metagenome. Its description in RNAcentral is "partial contains 5.8S ribosomal RNA, internal transcribed spacer 2, and large subunit ribosomal RNA". The record is from RNAcentral.
AAGACUAUAGACCUGCGGAGUACCUGCGGAAGGAUCAUCAAAGAAUUUUCCAAAGAGAAAAUUGAGUUGCUCCUUCUUUUCUUGUAAAAGAGAGAGAAGCGCUCUUUUUUCUCCAAACAAACGAUCACAACUAUUGAAAAAAUAAUUGACUUGGUUGAUGAGAAAUUAUAAGUGUUUGCCUGAUAAUUUGAUGAUUUGGAAACAAGAGAAAGAAAUACAACUUUCAACAACGGAUCUCUA